GACGAAGAACGUAGCGAAAUGCGAUAAGUAGUGUGAAUUGCAGAAUUCAGUGAAUCAUCGAAUCUUUGAACGCACAUUGCGCCCUUUGGUAUUCCUUAGGGCAUGCCUGUUCGAGCGUCAUUUAAACCUUCAAGCUCAGCUUGGUGUUGGGUGACUGUCCGCUUCACCGCGGACUCGCCUCAAAAUUAUUGGCGGCCGGUACAUUGGCUCUCGAGCGCAGCAGAAACGCGUAACUCGAGGUCCUCGUGCUGGCUCCCAGAAGCUAUCUUCACAAUUUUGACCUCGGAUCAGGUAGGGAUACCCGCUGAACUUAAGCAUAUCAAUAAGCGGAGGA
Molecule: unclassified non-coding RNA, 334 nt
Filed under: soil metagenome
Description: partial contains 5.8S ribosomal RNA, internal transcribed spacer 2, and large subunit ribosomal RNA
Rfam family: 5.8S ribosomal RNA (bases 1-120)
Source: RNAcentral